Molecule: non-coding RNA, 78 nt
Organism: Podarcis lilfordi (Lilford's wall lizard)
Lineage: Eukaryota; Metazoa; Chordata; Lepidosauria; Squamata; Lacertidae
Source: the annotation of a GenBank genome assembly
GCAUCACUGGGAUAGCUCAGUCAGUGGAGCAUGAGGCUCUUGACCUCAGGGUUAUGGGUUCGAGACUCACAUGGGGCA